This 71-nucleotide transfer RNA is filed under the name Lactobacillus sp. Sy-1. RNAcentral describes it as "tRNA-Trp". It matches the Rfam family "tRNA". Rfam says of the family: Transfer RNA (tRNA) molecules are approximately 80 nucleotides in length. Lineage: Bacteria; Bacillati; Bacillota; Bacilli; Lactobacillales; Lactobacillaceae. The record is from RNAcentral. RNAcentral also lists the same sequence under 1 other name.
AGGGAUAUAGUUCAAAGGCAGAAUACCGGUCUCCAAAACCGUUGAUGUGGGUUCGAUUCCUACUAUCCCUG